This 468-nucleotide ribosomal RNA is filed under the name uncultured bacterium. RNAcentral's name for it is "partial 16S ribosomal RNA". It matches the Rfam family "Bacterial small subunit ribosomal RNA", at positions 28 to 507 of the family's 1533-position model. The record is from RNAcentral.
GACGAACGCUGGCGGCGUGCUUAACACAUGCAAGUCGAACGGAAAGGCCCUGCUUGUGUGGGGUGCUCGAGGGGCGAACGGGGGAGUAACACGUGAGUAACCUGCCCUUGACUUUGGGAGAACUUCAGGAAACUGGGGCUAAUACCGGAUAGGAGCUCCUGCUGCAGGGUGGGGGGGGGAAAGUUGCGGCGGUUGGGGAUGGACUCGCGGCUUAUCAGCUUGUUGGUGGGGUAGUGGCUUACCAAGGCUUUGACGGGUAGGCGGCCGGAGAGGGUGACCGGCCACAUUGGGCCUGCGAUACGGCCCAGACUCCUACGGUAGGCAGCAGUGGGGAAUAUUGCCCAAUGGGCGGAAGCCUGCUGCAGCAACGCCGCGUGCGGGAUGACGGCCUUCGGGUUGUAAACCGCUUUCGCCUGUGACGAAGCGUGAGUGACGGUACUGGGUAAAGAAGCACCGGCUAACUACGUG